AUAUAUAUAUAUAUAUAACUGAUAGAUAGCCUAUGGUGUAUACAACAUUAUAGCUUAAAUCAUUUAAAACUAUAUUUACUUACAAAUAUUUCUAUCUUUGAGAAUAAAACUGUCCGUACCAUGAUGUAGGGGGGUUACCAUAAAAACCUUUACAAACAUUAUAUAUACACAUGUAUGUAAACAUUCAUAUCUAUUAAUAUUGAAUGGUUUCAAAUGCUUUUUAAAAAUAUGUUUCCCAAGUUUAUUUAAUUAUGUUAUAUAUUACUAACAAAUAGAGUUAUUGUGGGCAACCUUUUUAAUGAUAGUUCAGAUAGAUAGUGUAUUAUGAUAAAACCAGAACCUGAACUAUAUCAUUAUGUAUAGAUACAUAUAUCUAAACUAUAUCAUUAUGUAUAGAUACAUAUAUCUAAACUAUAUCAUUAUUUAUAGAUACGUAUAUCUAUGGGAAUCGAGUUGUUUACUGAGCUCCAUAAGAAAGUGCUGAGGAAGUUGCUUUGUUUCUGGGAGUUGCUUUGUUGCUGCUUUCUAAAGGAGGAUAGACGUUGUGUUGCUUUUUCAUGUGUGUGGAGUUUGGUUGGUACUGAAUGUCCGCACAAGGAUAGGAACAUCUGAGAGUCUUUACAAAAGCUACAGCUUCUAUUUUAAAAACUAAAAGAGUUUUCCUUUUAAUUAAGUUGCAUUAGUAAUUAUGUAAAUGAAAGUCCUCAGAAGUAUAGUAAGACAAAUGUGUAUGUCUAUGCGUGUGUGUGUUGGGGUGUGUGUGUGUGUGUGUGUGUGUGUGUGUGUUUGUGUGUGUGUGUGUGUGUGUGUUCCUUUCUAGGGUUAAUGAAAUGUCUGAGUCAACAAUUAUGUGUAAUAUCUAAGUAAAUGGAGGAUUAAAUGCUGAGCCAGUGUUAAAAAGUUCAUUAGGUUUCUUCUCAGAGGUCUGUGUGUCUCUUCAAAGACUUUGUUAUUGUGGAAGACUCUGUGGUGGGUCCAUUUAACAGCUAAUUCUAUAUGUGGACUGACCAAACCACUUAAGAGUAAAAGUUCUGGUUUAGGAUUGUUUUCUGAGCCAUAUUACUUUUGGCACACAAUACAAUUAAAAAAUCUUCUUUAGGACAAACCUGAGAUAAAUGGUAGUAUUUUGAGACAUUGUAUAAGUAUGUGGACAUAUAUCCUAUUAAAUACAUAUAAUCACUGGCUCGUCUUUCCUGUCUGCUUUGUAGCAUGUCCUACAAUAUAUCCUUUUUCAAGUUUAUAUAAAGUUCAGAAAGGCCCAUCAGUCUUUUGGGUGGUUGAGAAAAGCAACAAUUCUUGCCUUGUUACUUUUCUGUGUAUUGGAAGUUCUUACAGUUUUGCACAAGAGUACAUUGAUAUAUAUUAAAACAUUUUAAUGAUCACAGUGACAGCUGUGCUGGCCUACAGAGAUGAAAAAUGGGCCUUGACCCACCUGCCCUGUGUAAAAGGCUUUUCCACAUGUUUUUAACCCACCACAUUAUACUGAUAUCUGGAGCUGUACCGACUUGGAACAGGCUUCUUUGCUGAGCGCUAGGUACCUGGCAAGAGUAGCAAAUAAAACAGCAUCUGGGAUGCAGAGGUAGCAUAACUGAUUUUCACAGCAGACAAUUUUCACCUGGUCAGCACCCAGCUGAGCCCCUCAUCAGAAACAGACACGUGAAACAGCUCCUGGGAUUUCCAUGGCUAUGAUAGCUCGCUGAUUUCUCUCUAGGUUCAAUAGUUCACAUCAAUGAUUCAUAAUCAGUUUUCAAGGGCUUUCUGUGAUGUAUAGAAAUAUUUGCAUCAUAUUUGGCUUAAUUAUUUGGACAUAUACAUGUCCAUAUAAUUAUAAUUCUAUGGAUGCCAAACAGGAAUAAUUCCCAGCUAUAAUGACUAUACAAACAAGAUAAAAUGGGUUUCGUGCUGCAUUAUCGUAAAAUGGUAUAUCAUGCUGCAUUAUCAUCAGUUUACAUCUACACAUUAAUUGAAGAUGACACUAAAUGGCAUGUAACAUGCCAGCAGCCAUGUCAGCACUCAAUUAUUUGACAGAGGAAAAUGCAAACGUUUAUUUUUAAACUGGUGAGGCGAUCAUCAUUAACCUUCACUGCUGUUGAAUUCUUGAAUCAGAACAUUCUGCUUAGUUUUUUUAACCAGCUUAGCUCUGUAGUGCGAGCUGUAAUUCAAAUCACAGGUUUAUAUUCAUAUUAAUGUACUCAUUCUAAUGCAUCUUCCACAUACAUGAGCUCACAGAUGCCUGUAGUGUCUCUGUGACUGACAGGAGAAGGAGAGUAUGCCAUAACUUCCACUCAGAGAUGACUCUCUGCCUCUUGCUCUUGGGAUUGUCGGAUGUUGGGAUUCGAACGUGCAAUCUCCUAUGAAGGCUUUUCAGGAGCCCCUGCUUCACAGUAUUGUAUUACAGUAUAUAGUAUCACACCCUUUAUUUCAACUCAGCCCGAAACAUCUGCUCUACUCACGUUUUAUUUGUAUGUAUGCCAAAACAUGACUAAAACAUAGUCCGAGAUGGUUUCUUUCUCUCUGUCAUUUGAGGACAAUCCAGAGAUAACAAACUGAAUGCCACUAUAAUGUUUGUGUGUUUAAAUGAUUUGUUUGAUGCUUAAUAUUCCUACCAUGCACUUAUAUAAUUCUCUGUCACACAUGUGCGCUGUAGCCAUGCAGAAAAUUCAGAGCAGAGCUGCUUGCUGCCUGGCAGCGUCUCAGCACCUUGACUUCUGGUCCUUUUUUCAUACAGGGUCUGUUUUUCCUCUAGUUUCUCUGUCCACCCUCUCCUAUGUACUGUAUAUCUCUCACCUCAUCCUUCUGUUCCAGGAAGCAGAGUCUGGUUGUCUUUACAGUCUCUGUGUAAUUUAACAGUAUUUGUCAUGUAUAUGUGUUUGGUCCGGUCUGUAUAAUAUACUAUAAUAUUCUCUAUUCAUGCUGUUGGUGUGUAUCUCAGACCCUUCACCCUGCCUCUGAAAUGAGAGUUGGAUGAGUUCAAAUUCAUGGAAUUGGCACUGGACUUGCCUUUGCUGGGUUGCUCUGGCUGCAGUGUGUGAGCUGUGGUGAGGGACCUUCCUGCUGGUGGUUCAGCUCUGGAGAAUAGCACAGUGUAGGAGCCAGGGCCAAUUAAAUGAGAGGGGCGAGGGAGCCUCACGUCUGCUUGCGGAGGGGAACAUAAUGAAAUCUGAUACUUUGAGGGUGAAAUGUAGAACUACAUAUGUAUUACGUAAAGAAAGUGCUGUGAGGGGGGAAAAAAGAUCUUGCUUUCUGGCAGGAAAAUGCUUGCAGAAAGGCCUUAUGACUCUUUUGUAAGGACAAAGAUAAGUUGCUUUAGUUAUUUUAUGAGACGUGUAUUACUUUUGACUUCUUUAUCACACGCAUAUUAAAUAAAUUAUGGUAUACUGUUUUUCCAAAUAAUACUGCAUUGCAGAGGAAUUGUGGUAGAGAGCUUUUGGGGAGGACAUACUUACCUGCACUUAUAUUUAUACCUUCAUGUGCAGUAAUGAAGAGCUUUUAUGUGGGGUAAUAAUCUUUGUUUAUGCAACCAUGUUGCCGUUACUUAAUUUUCCACUUUUAUCCACUACCACUGAUUCAGCUUUGUACGCGCAGUGCUGCAAACUGUCCUCAGCUGACAGAAAAUGUCCUUAGAACAUUCAGUAAUUUUUUUGAUAGGCUCAGUAGUGUUUUUAAAACAUCUGCUGUAAUAAUGAUUUACUUCACAGUGAUAUUAGAAAGGUCACACAAUGUUCCCAGUUAGUUAAUGUGUGUGUGUGUGUGUGUGUGUGUGUGUGUGUGUGUGUGUGUGUGUGU
This is a long non-coding RNA of Ictalurus punctatus (channel catfish), 3786 nucleotides long. Lineage: Eukaryota; Metazoa; Chordata; Actinopteri; Siluriformes; Ictaluridae. The record is from Ensembl.